RNAcentral lists this unclassified non-coding RNA (4278 nucleotides) under Haliotis rubra (blacklip abalone). Its description in RNAcentral is "zinc finger protein 37-like, transcript variant X3". The record is from RNAcentral. Lineage: Eukaryota; Metazoa; Mollusca; Gastropoda; Lepetellida; Haliotidae.
GCAGAUACUUUCUUUUUCUACACCGUGUGAUGUUGACACUUCUUAUGUUCAUAAUGUGUGAUAAUUUAAAGACUUGACAAGCCGUUCCUAGCAAAGUGACACGACUCUGCGCACAGAUCUCAGGAUCUUGAGAUCGUUGGGCCAACAUAUCUCAGACUUUAAUCUGGCAUGAGUGUAAAAGGGCACAAAUUAUAUAGAUGCAGUGAUCUUCCUGUAUGUCAGGUUUAGCUCCACUCCACCUUACAUUGACUGCCAGGGCACAUCUACUUGUAAGAACAGUUGUAAAUAUUGAAGAUACAUUAUUUAGAUGUACAGGGUUUGGCUCAAGAGACUUUCCUCCACGGAGCAAACCGUAGCGAGCUAAGACAAACAGAGGCCUCUAAGAAAUCCUUUCCUUGUCUACAGUGUAGCAAAGUGUUUUCUUUUAGUAGGACAAGACAGAGACAUGUGAAAGCUGUACAUGAAAAUUUGGUUCAUAGUUGUGUGUGUGGAAAACAGUACAAUUACCAACAGAGUUAUGCUCGCCACAGAAAGACCUGUCCAGUAGCAUCAGUUCCAACAAACCCCUAUACGAACUUGUCCAUGCUGAAUGCACAACUGUUCCAGAAAAAGUAAUGGCAGCAUGACAACCGAACCUUUCCUUCACUAUCUCUGAGUGUUUGAUUACCGAUUUUCUCAGUUGCUUCAGAGUAUGAAAUAUGGCUGGUUUGGCUUCAUAUUUCCCUCUCCAGGAAAAUCUCCUCCCAGAUUUUGGAACAAACAGUAGCAAUCUUAGACCCACAGAAACAUCUAAACGUUGCUUCCCCUGUCCCAAAUGUACCAAAAUGUUUACCGAUAGCAGUGCUCGCCAGAGACAUGUUAAUGCCAUACACGAGAACCUGGUUUACAACUGUGUUUGUGGACGGAAGUACAAUUAUCAGCAGAGUUACAUUCGCCAUAAGAAGACUUGUUCUUUGUAUCAUGCCUCACUGGCAUCCUGAUCGAUCACUGAGCCAGCGUCAUCAAAUCGCACAUGACUUUUGGAAAAGAGUCCUGUCCCCAACUCUGCUCUGAUCAUCAUAUAUAGUAUCUUUUUGUGUUAUCACAUGGAGCUUUAUCAGCUGUUUGCCAGAGCAAGCAGAAUUUUAUGAAAUUAACUGUCUUUAACUGUAUACAGUGGUUGUAUGGAGAUGUUUAUUCCAAACUUUCAAGUCCGAUGGCAUAUUUGAACAUGAUCAUGUAUAGUGUCAACAACUUGUCGAAUGGAGAUAGACAAAAGCAACUGAAUCUGCGAGAUUCACUUGAAGUGUUUUGUAAAUUACUAGAUUGUCUUCAAGAAGGUAUUGAUCCUUUAUAAUUGUGGAUUAUAAAAGAUGGAUGCAUUUCGAUUGUGUGAUCAGUGGGUUAAAGACUGAGGACAGUGUGUUUAGUCAUGACAUAACUCUUGUAUCCAUCUGGGGAAGUGAGGUUAAACUUUGUCGCAAGUAUAAUCUGCUCAUCGUAAGUGGCAACCAAUGGAUCGAGUGGUCAGACGCCAUGAUUUGGUGUUUGGCAUAUCACCGUAUCGCAAGGACAUGGAUGGUUGUUUUGGCAUAUACUGUCACUUGAUUGUCUGGCCCAGAAUGGAGUAUUUUCAGGCUGAUGUCACAUAGAUGGAAUAUUACUGUGUGUGUCAUUGAACAAAGAAUAACAAAAGUUGGGCAACUGGUCUGUCUGGCUUGUUUGUCCUAAAUAGUAGUUUGCAUGCAAUGCAGCAGACUUUAAACUCAUCUUGUUAUAUUGCUGUAUUGUUAUAUUGAUUUCAUCAGUGAAAGUUACCAAUUCAUAUUCUCAUAAGUGUAUGCUUUGUUUUAAGACACUGGUGACCUUGAAACACAAUCAGAUUUCAGUGAGUCUUGUUCGGUGUGUGUGGAACAUUGUGACCUUGAAACAUUAUCAGUGUGGAUGGAUCGAGGAAACACUGAAGUCUUGACAAGUAAGGUGAAGGCAAGCUUGCUGUCACUGUCAUCUGAUGUGUGCAUUGAAAUUCUUGUGUGACUUAUAGAAUUGUGAUAUUCAUACAAGGAAAGUGAAGUGACACUUAGCAGCCAUGAUCACUAGUGCAUGAUGUCUGCUCGUGCAUUCUCAUCUGUACAAACUUUGAUCACCAUGGAAACUGAUGAAUAUUACUAGGAUGCAACUGUGAACUUUCAUGACCAGAAAUGACCAGUACUAGAACAAUGGGUAAUUCUUCCCAGGAUCACUUUGUCAUGGACUCUUCUGAUCCACCUUUAGCUUUCCCAGAACACAUUGCUGCAGGUAUGUGCUAGGUGGGGAAGACCAUAUUGUUUUCACACGGCUAUGUUCAUGUUUACUGGUUUCACUCAAAACCGUGAUACCAAUUUUGGAAGUACUUGUUAGGAAAGUAGCCAUGUUGAUUCAUGCUCCAUGGACUUGUAACAAACAAUUCAUGAUGAGGGUAGCUGUUACAUGGGAACAGAAUAGAACUCAGGACACAUGGGCUCAGGAAUGGAGGACAUGGUUGAUCAAGAGUGGCUAUAUGCUCGUAUAUUAAUCCCCAUGCAGUGUGUUGUACAUUAUCCUCAAGUGAAUUGUCAGCAAGUAAUGCAUGAUGAAGGCAGCAUUUAGAGAGGAACUAACGUAUAGAAAUCGGAAAGUGCAGUCUCCGGAAUAGAGGACCUGAUCAAACUUGAUCUAGAGUGGCUAUGUGCUUGUAUCUUGUGUGUUGUACAUUGUUUUUGUUUGAAAUAAUCUCUCCUGAUAACGAGAUAGUGGACAAGUACAAUUUUUUCCUGUUUUCAGGUUUGGGCAGAUUUGUUGCCGCUGAGCGAGUGGGUCCACAGCUGGACUUUUUAACACACAGGACUGAACGUAGAGCUCAGAGACGAUCUGACCAAAAGAAAUCUUUCUCUUGCCCUCAGUGCGACAAAUCGUUCACAGCCAGUAGUGCCAGAUUAAGACACAUCCAUGCAAUCCACGACAAGCUGUUGUAUUACUGUAUAUGUGGGAAGGUGUACAAUUACCAGCAGAACUAUCUCCGCCAUAAGAAAACCUGCUUCUUACUCAAAACUGGCAAUACGACUGUUUAGACGAUAAAGUGUCAUGGCUCUUUGUGGAACUAAUUUCUUGUUGUGAUCUCACUAAAACUGGAGUAAAACUCCACUCACUCACUCACUCACACAUGCUGUGAAGCAGAUAUCAGUCAUCAAAAAUGAAUGUAUGUUUUCGUCAGAUGUGUCAUAUUCAGCGAAGAGGAAGGAUAUAUUUUAAAUGAAGGAAAGUCCUGGUACUUUCAAGUUUCUCAUAAUACUGUAAUCUGGGAACCAGCAAAAUCGUGCUCUUUAAUCAUCAGGGCAAUGCUUAUUUCAAAUACUGGAAGGUGAAGAUGUAGUCUAGUGGUUAGGCGUUCGCACGCUGAAGACCCAGGUUCGAUUUCCCCACAUGGGCACAAUGUGUGAAGCGGCCCAUUUCUGGUCUCCCCUGCCGUGAUGUAAAGCUGUGUAAAACUAGACUCACUCACUCACUCAAACUCAAAAAGAAUGAUUGCUCUGAUUCUGUUAAGCACUGAUCCAGAGAUUAAUGUGUUUGAUUGUCAAAUCUGAAUUUUUUGAACAUAUACGUUAUGAUUUGUAAAAUAAUUUAUAAGCCUCUUGGAUGAGUUCAGGAAAGGGCAUUUGGAAACGAUUGCUGUUGAAGAUCGGGGUUAAGGUGUUUGCUCAAUUUGUAGCUGCUUCUAUCCCAUCAAGUGAAACCCAUUCUUUAUGUCCUCCUCUAUUGCAUAAUUCUGGAAUAAUGCUUAAAUUGCUAUAAAACUUGACUUGGUAAAAAAAUAUUACAACCAUCAGUGAAACUUGUGAAAUGUCUAGGAUUGGGGACGGAAUGCAUCCUGUGAAGCUGCAUAUCAUUCUCUUCCCCUGGUACAUCUGUGUUACUUACGUCUGCUUGAAGAGUUAUCCUUGUGAAGGAGAUUUUUUCCUUUUUUAGUGAUCUCUGUUUUGUUUUUUUUGUAUUUGAUGCUUUUGAAGAAUGAUCUACUGAUUGUGAUCACUGACUUUAUUUGAUCUUCAUAGAGGAUGUUCUGUUGAUUGUGAUUUCUGUUUCAUGUAUUUGAUUUUUGUAGAGGACAUGCAUACUUCAACUUGCCGAAUGACUUGAUGUUUCAUUUUGCUGGCUGAACUUGCGAUGGAAAAAAAUGUAACAUUGGGUGACGCUAAUAGGAUGUUGUGUAAUAAAAAAAUGUAUUGACAUAAUAGAAUCUUUAUGUAAAUGACUAUUUUCAAUUAAAUUUUUUUAUCAUUA